CUUGUUGUUCUUCUCUGGACCCUCUCCAAUUUCUCCACAUCUUUCUUGAAAUGCGGUGCCCAGAACUGGUCUCAACUGGAGUAUUGUGUCCUAACCAGCGCAGAAUAGAGUCUGAGACAAUGACAAACAUUGAAAGGAACCCCACGCACCAAAUGAUUUCUCAGUUGCACAGUUUUGCUGCUACUGGAGACAAGAUCAGAUUGACAGCGCUAUGCAGUCAUUCUCCAUCCCUUAUCAAUGAAGCUGCUGAGAAUGGUUGGACAGCCUUGAUGUAUGCUGCCAGAAAUGGACACUUUGAGAUUGUACAAAUUCUUCUUGAAAAAGGGUGUGACAGGUCCAUUGUCAAUAAAUCGAGCCAGACUGCACUAGACAUUGCUAAAUUUUGGGGAUAUAAGCAUAUAGCUAAUUUACUAGCAAAUGUUAAGGGUGGACAGAAGCCUUUUUUCCUGCCAAACGAUAAAAUAGAGUAUGAAAAUUAUUUUAGCAGGACACUUCUGGAUAGAAGGAGUGAUAAAAGAACAGAUUCUAAAUGGUUAAACACAAAACAAAACCAUCCAGCCACGGUAUACAUCCUUUUCUCAAAUUUAAACCCAUUGGUCACUUUGGGUGGAGGGAAAGAUGGCUCCCAGCAGCCUGAAGUCAGGCUUUGCAGGCUGUGCCACAAGGAUGUAAAGGAAUACAUGAGCCAGACUGAAAAAGUCACCUUGAUUUUUCUUGGAGUAGAACUUCAGUUGACUACUCUGAAUGGAGGAAUUCUGAAGGAAGAUGAAGAAGAUGGACUGGUUGCUUGGUUUGCCCUCAGCAUAGAUGCUACCUUUGCUGAACAGUUUAAACAGAGGCAUGAAGACUGUUAUUUUCUUCAUCCUCCAAUGCCUGCACUGCUGCAGUUGCCUGAAAAAGAAGCUGGAGUAGUAGCCCAGGCUAGAUCUGUUCUAGCAUGGCAUAACCGAUACCAAUUCUGUCCAACAUGUGGCAGUGCAACCAAGAUUGAAGAAGGAGGCUACAAGACAACCUGCUUAAAAGAAGACUGUCCCAGUCUUCAAGGUGUUCACAAUACAUCGUACCCAAGAGUUGAUCCUGUAGUGAUUAUGCAAGUCCUUCAUCCAGAUGGGAACCAGUGCCUUUUAGGCAGGCAGAAGAGGUUUCCUCCUGGCAUGUUUACCUGCCUUGCUGGAUUUGUAGAGCCUGGGGAAACAAUAGAAGAUGCUGUUCGAAGAGAAGUAGAGGAGGAGAGUGGAGUCAAAAUUGGCCAUGUUCAGUAUGUCUCUUGUCAACCAUGGCCAAUGCCCUCCUCCCUAAUGAUUGGUUGCUUAGCUGUUGCAGUGUCUACAGAAAUUAGAGUCGACAAGAAUGAAAUAGAGGAUGCCCGUUGGUUCACUAGAGAACAGGUCGUGGACGUUCUCAUUAAAGGAAACCAGCGUUCUUUCUUUGUGCCACCGAGUCGAGCUAUUGCACACCAGUUGAUAAAACACUGGAUUGGAAUGAAUGCUAAUCUUUAAAUUCGAGGAACUGAGUUCUUUGAGUUAAAUUACUGUUUCCAGUGACUGCUAAUGUAAAUAAAUUAGAAAUUUGUUGGAGUGGGACAGUCAUCCACUGAUUACCCCAAACAAAAACGUCAAUAUUAAAGUAUAAUUUUGAAGGUUUUUUUAUAAUCGGGUUAUUCUGCCCUUCGCUAUCCCUCCUUUUAUUUUCCAGGACUCGUCUGAGCUCUUCUAGAUCUACUAUUUUUGUUUGAGACAUUGUUAAAAUCAGCCGUGGUGUAAGUUGUGACAACUCCGCUAAUUAUGCCUGCUGUGUCUGAGAUUCUUUUCCUCUGUGUUUACCUGCAAUUUUGUUGUUUGUUUUUCCUUUUUCUCUCCUGUUUUCUCUUUCUUGUUCUAUACCUUCCUCACUUUCCCUUUUUUAUCCUCCCUCCCUUUUCCAUGCUCCCCUCACUUUUGGCCGUUCGUCACUCCUUCCUACCCCAACGAACACUUAGCAUUACACUUUAGCAGCAAUGUUAGCAUUUAAUUCUAGAAGCUCUAUUAGCAACAGGUAUCACAUGUUGGUAGUACAUUCAUUAGAAGCUAGGUGUGUAAUGCUUUUUAUAGCUUAUAUGAUUAGUGUUGCUGAUGCUAGAGUUUGAGCCAGCAAUCUUGUGUGGAUCCUGUCACCUCAUUAACAUAUUGUCCAAACAUUAUUUUAAAGACCUUUUGCAAUAUUGUGUUUGCAAUAAAUGGGGGUGAGGAUGGCUGCUCCAGAAGCCUAAAUAUUAGAUACUGUUAUAAGCAGCCACAGACUUGUUGACUGGUAGACAGCAAACAAGAUUGCAGUUGAUUGGCUUCUUUGGUCAGUGCAAAUUAGUGUAGAGACUUCAGAAGACAAGUAGAUUAAACUAGACAAAAAAGACACCAGAAUUAAUGACAGUUCAUCUAAAUACAAAAUAGUGUUUUUUAAAAUUUGAAGCAUUAAGGAAUGCUGCUUAUAUGAGUAAUAUAUAAUCAAAAAUGAUAGGUAACUUAAAAAUACCAAAUCUAAAUGUAAUGAAGAGAAGACAGCAUUUUUAAACAAUAAAAUAUUAAUUUAUUGAUGUAUGUUUAACAUUAGUAAUUUACGGUACUGUUUCAGAUUUUGUGCCUUAAUUAUAAAUUAGUGAGGAGAAUUCAAAUUACUUUCUUUCCAAAUGAAAGGCUAUAAAGUGUACUACAGUAGAAGCUCGUUUGCAGCAACACCUUGUAAGAGCAACUGCCGCUAACGAGCAACAUUUCCCCUGGGAACAAUUUCCUUACUGCUAUUUUUCCACUUGGUAACAG
Trachemys scripta elegans is the source of this 2792-nucleotide RNA transcript. It is a transcript of the gene named nudix hydrolase 12, with no coding region annotated. The transcript is spliced from 8 exons. The record is from RefSeq and is a predicted model, not a curated record. Lineage: Eukaryota; Metazoa; Chordata; Testudines; Emydidae.